UUAAUCGAAACCAAAAUUUAGAGGUAUGUCACUGUUAAUGACAUCAUUGGGAAACCCCCCGAUUAAA
Molecule: transfer RNA, 67 nt
Filed under: Brephilydia jejuna
Lineage: Eukaryota; Metazoa; Arthropoda; Insecta; Coleoptera; Cerambycidae
Description: tRNA-Asn
Source: RNAcentral